GGAGGUUGGACUCAAUGACCUCCUGAGGUCUCUUCCAGCCCUAAUCUUCUAUGAUUCUAUGCCAAGAUUGGCCUUAUGGAAGUGAAUUUAAUUGGUGAACGAAAUGAGGAGGAGAUGCACACUUUCCACCCCGACGUCCCUUUUGGGGAUUCUUAAAAGGAGACUUUGGAAAAAAAUUCUCAUCUCACCUUCCCCGACCCCAGCACAGAAGGAGCAGAGCAGACCAGAGGAUUUUCUUUCCUGGGGGAAGUCAUCAGGCCUUGCUCUUGUUUAAGGAACUUUGCUCUUCACCUGUGAGUCCUGAAAGUCGUCAUGACAAUCCAGUCCUCAGCCCAUCAGUGGGGAUACCUGAUGUCAGUGCUGCAGAGGCUCCAUUCAGAUGCAUAGGUCUCAAAUCCUGCUGAGCUGUAUGCCGUCUUUCUGCUGUGAAAAAACGGGGACUCGCUCGCUACUGGAUACUGAUUCGAGGCAGUUGCUGCAACAGCUGCCACCCCCACCAUCUCCUGGGACUCCAGACUUCAUCCUAAUUCUGAGAGCUGUCCUGACCAGACCAGGAGAGGGACCCAGAUGACACCGUCACCUCCACUGGCUGAAAUCUGAACACCAGCAUGUCUCCAGUCCUAUGCUCCUGUUUACGUCAAGUACUAAACAAUGCUGACAAGCAAAACAACUUUCAAGGUAGUCCUUGACUUAAAAGGUUGAUUUUCUUCAGUGCAUCCAAAUGUUAGUGUCUUCCAUACCAGACGCAGUGACAUUAGAAGCUAAGAAGCGUCUUGGCUAACCUUUCUCUUGCUCUAGCACCUUCCCCUGAAGUAUCUGGUACUGGCCAUUGUUGGUGUCAGGAAACGACUAGAUGGACCUCAGGUCUGAUCCACUAGGGCCAUUCCUAUGAAAAGUAGUGAGGCUGAAGAAAGCAGAGUAUUGAUGUCACUGAAGAGACAGAAAAGGACCCUGCUAGCCAUGACGAGUUCUCCAGCUACAUUCGGUCUGUGGUUCCACUGAAGAAUAUUUAUGGGUAGGGCACUUAAAUCACCUGCUCUUCUCAAUCAGCAUCUGCUCCAUCAAUAUCUACAAGGAGCUCUAAGUUACCAAAGAAAAAGGAUGAUGGAACAAUAAGCGGGACUAAGCAAAAGCUUGAUGAAUGACUUCAUUUAGUUUGUGCUUUGGAAAAUAGUUUCUGGCACUACCCAAAAUUAAUGUAUUAUUAAAGGCUCUGCCUUAUGCCAAGUGAGUCUUUUAUUCUUGGCAUAUGUAGAGAUCAUCAAGGGCAAGACAGUGUUUUGCUGCGGUUUUGUUAAAGUAAUAAGUAAAAGUAACUGUUAUAGUUAUUGCCAGAAUA
Molecule: long non-coding RNA, 1339 nt
Organism: Trachemys scripta elegans
Lineage: Eukaryota; Metazoa; Chordata; Testudines; Emydidae
Exons: 4
Source: RefSeq, a predicted model, not a curated record